RNAcentral lists this ribosomal RNA (160 nucleotides) under uncultured bacterium. RNAcentral describes it as "partial 16S ribosomal RNA". It matches the Rfam family "Bacterial small subunit ribosomal RNA", at positions 355 to 507 of the family's 1533-position model. The record is from RNAcentral.
UCGAGAAUAAUUCACAAUGGGGGCAACCCUGAUGGUGCAACGCCGCGUGGAGGAUGACGGUCUUCGGAUUGUAAACUCCUGUCAUCUGGGAGUAAGGCAUGGUUGUGAAUAGCAGACAUGAUUGAUAGUACCAGAAGAGGAAGGGACGGCUAACUUCGUG